AUGUGGUCCGUGGAGGGCGCGGCUGAGGUCCUCGGCGUCAACUGCAUCAUCGGCCGCCUCGACACCCGCACGCACGAGCGCGGCCACACGCGGACCUUCGCGUGCUGGGUCUGGGUCUGGGACGUAGCCUUCAUCGCCACCAAGCACACCAUCUGGCGCGCAGCGCGCGGCGCGGGGCGCGUUGAGACCAUGCUCGGCACCUCCCCCCCGAGCCGCGAGGUGCCCCCUCCACCCCGCGUCAAGCAGCAUCAGCUUCUCAUCCACGUCGACCGCGUCGAGGACUGGUCCACCCCCUCGCCGCGCUCCUCGCACUCCGCCCAGAGCGGCCUUCCCUCCUCGGGGUCCGACGACGAGCGCUCUGGCCCAACGGUGUGGACCGGCACGUGGGCGAUGCACGUGGAGGACGGCCAAGGCUAG
This 417-nucleotide ribosomal RNA is filed under the name Triticum aestivum (bread wheat). RNAcentral describes it as "partial small subunit ribosomal RNA". The record is from RNAcentral. Lineage: Eukaryota; Viridiplantae; Streptophyta; Magnoliopsida; Poales; Poaceae.